This 482-nucleotide ribosomal RNA is filed under the name uncultured bacterium. Its description in RNAcentral is "SSU rRNA". It matches the Rfam family "Bacterial small subunit ribosomal RNA", at positions 26 to 521 of the family's 1533-position model. The record is from RNAcentral.
AGAACGAACGCUGGCGGCAUGCCUAACACAUGCAAGUCGAACGCUUCCGGGGCUUCGGUCGCGGAGGAGUGGCGCACGGGUGAGUAGCGCGUGGGAACCUGCCCUGUUGUGGGGGAUAACCGAGGGAAACUUCGGCUAAUACCGCAUACGCCCCGGGACUUGGUCUUCGGAUUAGGUCUGGGGGGAAAGAUUGAUCGCAGCAGGAGGGGCCCGCGUCGGAUUAGCUGGUUGGUGGGGUAACGGCUCACCAAGGCGAUGAUCCGUAGCUGGUCUGAGAGGAUGAUCAGCCACACUGGGACUGAGACACGGCCCAGACUCCUACGGGAGGCAGCAGUGGGGAAUAUUGGACAAUGGGGGCAACCCUGAUCCAGCAAUGCCGCGUGAGUGAUGAAGGCCUUAGGGUUGUAAAGCUCUUUCGCCCGCGACGAUGAUGACGGUAGCGGGAGAAGAAGCCCCGGCUAACUCGCGCCAGCAGCCGCGGU